Small nuclear RNA from Cricetulus griseus (Chinese hamster), 103 nucleotides. NCBI's taxonomy places the organism in Eukaryota, Metazoa, Chordata, Mammalia, Rodentia, Cricetidae. The record is from Ensembl.
AUGCUCGCUUCGGCAACAUAUAUACUAAAACUGGAACAAUACAGAGAAGAUUAGCAUGGCCCGUGCACAUGACCCACAAAUUCAUGAAGUGUUCCAUAUUUCU